This 320-nucleotide ribosomal RNA is filed under the name Backeljaia gigaxii. RNAcentral's name for it is "partial 16S ribosomal RNA". The record is from RNAcentral. Lineage: Eukaryota; Metazoa; Mollusca; Gastropoda; Stylommatophora; Geomitridae.
GGCUUAUAAUUGAAGUCUGGCAUGAAUGAAUAAUGGGGAAUUACUGUCUUUUUGGGUUUUCAAGAACUUACUUAACAAGUGAAAAUACUUGUAAAUAAAUAAUAGACGAGAAGACCCUAGAAAUUUUUUUAAUAUUGGUUUUAUAUCUAAUUAAUUUUGCUGGGGCGGCAGAAUAACAUUAAACUUAUUUUAAUAAAUUUGAACUAUCUACUGAGUAAAAGUAAAUUACUCUAGGGAUAACAGCAUAAUUUUACAAAGUUUGUGACCUCGAUGUUGGACUAGGGACUUUAGUGUUUAGAAGAUACUAAAUCAGGCUCUGU